Molecule: long non-coding RNA, 1894 nt
Organism: Paramisgurnus dabryanus
Lineage: Eukaryota; Metazoa; Chordata; Actinopteri; Cypriniformes; Cobitidae
Source: RefSeq, a predicted model, not a curated record
AUUGCUGGAAGACUGCAGGAACUGAACCCCCUGGAAAGAUGAGUUCCUUAUUAAAGAAAGGCUUGAUGCUGUUUACUCCACACUCUUAGGCUGACUUUGUAUUAUUUGUCUGUGAAGACAGUUCACAGUUUCUGAAUCCCAUCAAGAAUGAAGACCUGGAGGCCACCAUAUUGAGAUGCGAGUCAAAAUAUAUACUUUUAUAACCAUAUAUGACAUUUCAAUGUAGUGACAUUUAAGUUUUCCUGGCUAAAAUAAUUGAAUUUGGUAAUAUUUGUUAAUAAGAUUAUUAAUGAGUUAUAUUUGUAUAAUUAACUUGUAUAGCAAGUUAUAUAGUUAUAUUUGUUGGAACAAAUAAGGAUAUUGUUAAUAACAAGCUAAGAUCUUGAGUUUUUUGGCUAUGGUUUUAAAGGAUGUUUAAGAAGGGGAAAGAAAGAAUAGGUAGUUUAAUUUCAUUUACAUGCAUAGUUCAGGGGGAAAUUGUUCAUAGGAAGCAUUCAAACACAACCUAACAUCUGAUGCUUUUUACUGUCUCAUGCUUUUCUGUGUUCCAGGGUCCGAUGUCAUGAUAUGGCGCUUUUCCAAUGUAGGGUACAACUUGGCUCGGCACGAUGCAGCUCAGCUCGCUUUCGUUGCUUUUCCAGUACAGUUUAGUGUCGCUUCAGAGUGGGUGAGAUUAUAGGCAGGGGUGCACAUAACUGGUGCGUAUGCUCAAAUAGAAACAAUUCUAGUGUACCAACGUUGCUGGAAUUUUGUUACAUAGUUAGCUAAUUUACUUUGACAUAAGAGAUUUCUUCGUGCAUCAGUGGUAAGAUAAUUAAUGUGUGUUGUUAGCAGUGAUCCGCAUCUCAAUGCUUCAGACAGCUUGCUAGUACAAGUAUACAUUUAUAUGAGUUAGGCUAGUAGUUAUUUAUAAAGAUUAGAUAAGUAAAAAACAAUAACCAGGGUUAUUUUAUGUACAUCAUUGUCUACCAUGUUUAAACAAAAGCGAUAUGGCGAAGAGAGUAGUCAGGAGAAAAGUGAUGAUGUCAGCAUGUAGGAUGUCUGUGCUAUGAAUAGUGUGAGUACCAAGUAACAUCUCCAGGUACUUCUUUGAGAACCAGGACAAAAAAAGUUAUGUGCACCCCUGAUUAUAGCCUUAUUGUUAAAGUUGCGUCCUCUCUACUGCCGUAACAUCAUCGUAAAUGUGAUACAAACACACACACACACAACAUGGAGCAACAGAGCAUAUUAAUGGAAUGCAGCCACAAAAUCAAAAUUGACAGCCACAAGUAGAUUUUCCACUACCUCUCUCACAUGACAGGUUCUAUACAAACACCCGUGUCAUCAGUACCUGUACUCCGCUGACAGAACAUUUACGCCUAUACUUUUGGUGCGUUUUGAAUGCGGAGCCAUGCGCAAAGUUACAAAACUGCCAUCCAGACAUGGGCGCGGUGGUGUGCUCUGCAUUUUUGUAACUUUGCACAUGGCUUCGCAUCCGAAACCCAUUACCCCUUCCCCAAAAGUGAGCUGUGCUGAACUGGGUCAUACUAUGCAAUGGAAAAGCGCCAAAAGUGUCCUACUUCCUGGCUUGAAUGAUUUAGAAUUUUCAGCGUUGGACUUGUGUUCCGCGUGUUUGGCCUCUUUAACACUUGCUGUUUGAAAGUCAUUGCUUGCAACAGAUUGAGUGAAUGUCAUUCUGCAUUUCUGUUUGCAUUGCUUUGCUUGCAUUUGAAUCCUUUGCAAUAAUAAAAGUUUUACAUUUGAGCUGUAGUUGUAGAUUCAAGUUUGUUUUUCCUUGAUAUAAUGUAUUUGUAUAGAUUUUUGCUGUGUGACAAUUAUAUAUCAUGCAGUGCUUCAUAUAUGAGAAAGACAACGCUUGAACCACACAACACCGUAUCAUAUUAAUCAGAAUAAA